Molecule: long non-coding RNA, 1560 nt
Filed under: Panax ginseng (ginseng)
Lineage: Eukaryota; Viridiplantae; Streptophyta; Magnoliopsida; Apiales; Araliaceae
Description: long non-coding RNA (PGIN_LNC012306)
Source: RNAcentral
UCAAAAAUAAAUAAACAGAGCACUAACAACCUCAAAAUAUUAAUAGUGGUGAUCCAUUAAUAAAGUACUAAGUACAUUUCUCCAAACAGAGUCAAAAUAAUCAAAACUUAAAAUUCGAAACAACCUAGAUGGUGAAAGACAAUACUCUCAUCACACUAGCCCUGAAUCACCCCUGCAAACCUGCCGGAAGAAAAACACAUCAUGAGCCAAUUGCCCAGUACGGAUACAGAUAUACAAAAGAUAUACAACUGAUAUACGAAAAUAACUGAGACAAAAUACUGAACAAAGCCUCGAGUGCAAAUACGAACGAAAAUAUAAUAUACAAAGAUCUGAAUGGAAUAUAUCUGAAUCAACAUAAUUGACGAAACCAAUAAAAGAAUAAAGAAAUAACGAACAGAAGUAACUAACUCAAUGACUUGAACUGAACAGAAACCAACAAAACUGAUCCAAUAAAAUAAUAGGCUGAAACAAAUGGUUGGAGUUAUUUCAUACCGAAUGAGCUCAGAAUAUACCUUUCCACACAGGCAAGUCAAAAUAAUGUCACACCGACAAAUCAAAUGAUGCCACAUAGGCAACCAAAAUAAUGCCACACAGGCAAAUCAAAAUAAUGCCACACAUGCAAGUCAAAAUAAUGCCACACAUGCAAUCACACAUUGGACCGCGAAUCCAAAUGUAUGAAAAUCGGAUAGUGUGUUUGGCACAACAUCACCAAUCCGCAGUACAGAAAACUAGGGUUAACCCAUACGCCUCCCACAACAAAACACCAAAUGGCCCACUACCUCCGGAGCCCAAAACGGAGACGCUGUGGACUAAUCACACCGCCACGGAAAGUGUCAUGUCACUCGUGCCAAGACGGCAUGCCUGUGGUACCCCCACAGGUGGUUAUAGCUCUGGUAUACCCUACGGUAUAUUGUAACAAAAUACCUUGUCCCAACACAUACGACAUAAUACCAACAAAAAGGGUUCUAUAUGUACAUGUUGAACCAAAUCAAAUUAUAGUCACAAUGUCUCAAAAAGAAGGUAGCAACAUGUACCGCUCUAGAAUUAUUAAAAAUAAAUAUUAAACAUGAUAACCUAAUUCAAAGAGUACAAAUACGAGUCCAAUGUGUCAACUCCAAAAUGAAAGUAAUGUAUGAAUUUCACAGGAAACAAUUAUGUGAAAUCAUAACAGAAUUCGAAACAAGGGACAAGACGAACAAAUCAAAUUUAACAAGAGUCUCGCUGAACAAAUCAUGGAAUAUGUACCAAUUUUAAUAGAAGGAAAUUAGUUUAAAUUACUGAAUACAACCAAAGUAUCAAUUAUCAAAUUUCUAUUUAAGAAUUCCAAUAGGAUUAUAAGAAAAUAAAUGACGAUAUAUCACGAGAUACAAAGAAUGCAACUACAAUCAAAGGAGUGGAGUACGGAAUCCGUACCUGAUACUUCCAAGCCAUUUAUAGCACACUCCACAAAAUUUUACCCUCAAUUGCCAACGACAUCAAAUACAAAUCGUUAUUCGCAACCUAAACAUAUUCACCUCAAAUUAAAAACAAUCCAAACUAAUAAUUCCAAAGUAAUUCAUA